AUCGGUGACAGGUGGUGCAUGGUUGUCGUCAGCUCGUGUCGUGAGAUGUUGGGUUAAGUCCCGCAACGAGCGCAACCCCUAUUGUAGUUGCCAUCAUUCAGUUGGGCACUCUAGCGAGACUGCCGGUAAUAAACCGGAGGAAGGUGGGGAUGACGUCAAAUCAUCAUGCCCCUUAUGACCUGGGCUACACACGUGCUACAAUGGUUGGUACAACGAGUUGCGAGUCGGUGACGGCGAGCUAAUCUCUUAAAGCCAAUCUCAGUUCGGAUUGUAGGCUGCAACUCGCCUACAUGAAGUCGGAAUCGCUAGUAAUCGCGGAUCAGCACGCCGCGGUGAAUACGUUCCCGGGCCUU
Molecule: ribosomal RNA, 353 nt
Filed under: uncultured Streptococcus sp.
Lineage: Bacteria; Bacillati; Bacillota; Bacilli; Lactobacillales; Streptococcaceae
Description: bacterial SSU rRNA
Rfam family: Bacterial small subunit ribosomal RNA
Source: RNAcentral